RNAcentral lists this ribosomal RNA (616 nucleotides) under uncultured fungus. Its description in RNAcentral is "eukaryotic LSU rRNA". It matches the Rfam family "Eukaryotic large subunit ribosomal RNA", at positions 24 to 664 of the family's 3401-position model. The record is from RNAcentral. Lineage: Eukaryota; Fungi.
CCCGCUGAACUUAAGCAUAUCAAUAAGCGGAGGAAAAGAAACCAACAGGGAUUGCCCCAGUAACGGCGAGUGAAGCGGCAACAGCUCAAAUUUGAAAUCUGGCCCCCAGGGCCCGAGUUGUAAUUUGCAGAAGAUGCUUUUGGCGCGGUGCCUUCCGAGUUCCCUGGAACGGGACGCCAUAGAGGGUGAGAGCCCCGUCUGGUCGGACACCAAGCCAGUGUAAAGCUCCUUCGACGAGUCGAGUAGUUUGGGAAUGCUGCUCUAAAUGGGAGGUAUAUGUCUUCUAAAGCUAAAUACCGGCCAGAGACCGAUAGCGCACAAGUAGAGUGAUCGAAAGAUGAAAAGCACUUUGAAAAGAGGGUUAAACAGUACGUGAAAUUGUUGAAAGGGAAGCGUUUAUGACCAGACUUGGGCCCGGUGAAUCAUCCAGCGUUCUCGCUGGUGCACUUCGCCGGGCCCAGGCCAGCAUCAGUUCGCCGCGGGGGACAAAAGCUUCGGGAACGUGGCUCCCUCGGGAGUGUUAUAGCCCGUUGCAUAAUACCCUGUGGCGGACUGAGGUUCGCGCUCCGCAAGGAUGCUGGCGUAAUGGUCAUCAGCGACCCGUCUUGAAACACGG